CAUUUAAGGGUCGCCAAAUAAUUUAUUUUCAUUGAAUUUCAAAUUUCAAAUAUUAAACUUUAAAUUUUAAAUUUAAAUUCAGAUUGAAAAAUUAAAAAUGUAAAUUUAGAUUUAAAACUUCAAAUUUUAAAAUUUAAAAUUUAAAAUUAUUUUUUGUACAAAUUUGAAAAUUAAAAAUUAUACUUUCAAUUCAAAUUUAAUUUUUAAUUUAAAUUCAAAUUUUAAAUUAUUUUAAAAUAAAAUUUAGUAAAAAAAUUAAUAUAUGUAAAUAUUAAAAAAAUUUUGUCAAACAGCUUUAAAAAAUUAUUUCAGAAAAAUCAUUUUUAUCUAAACUCAGCCAAACGCUCUAUAGUUUUUAAUCAAAAUCAAUUCUCGAAACUAAAAUUACUUCUGCAAAAAUUACUUUUCUAGAAGCUAGGCCAAACAGGUCCUCUAUUUCCGUGUAUGGAUCAAAUUGCUGUGAAUUUAGUGACGCAUGGAUUGGUUGAGUU
Molecule: long non-coding RNA, 491 nt
Filed under: Ananas comosus (pineapple)
Lineage: Eukaryota; Viridiplantae; Streptophyta; Magnoliopsida; Poales; Bromeliaceae
Description: long non-coding RNA (ACOM_LNC005922)
Source: RNAcentral